CCGAAUUGUAAUUUGUAGAGAGUGCUUCGGGCGAGGCCGCGGUCUAAGUCCAUUGGAACAUGGUGUCAUAGAGGGUGAGAAUCCCGUAUGCGACCGUGGCUCGAGCCCAUGUGAAGCCUCUUCGACGAGUCGAGUUGUUUGGGAAUGCAGCUCAAAAUGGGUGGUAAAUUUCAUCUAAAGCUAAAUACUGGCUGGAGACCGAUAGCGCACAAGUAGAGUGAUCGAAAGAUGAAAAGCACUUUGGAAAGAGAGUCAAACAGUACGUGAAAUUGUUGAAAGGGAAGCGCUUGCAACCAGACCUGCCCGUAGGCGAUCAGCCGCUGUUCUCAGCGGUGCACUCGCUCUGCGAUCAGGCCAGCAUCGGUUUCGGCGGUCGGAUAAAGGCCUUGGGAAUGUAGCUCCCCUCCGGGGGAGUCUUAUAGCCCUCGGUGCAAUGCGGCCAGCCGGGACCGAGGACCGCGCUUCGGCUAGGAUGCUGGCGUAAUGGUUGUAAGCGACCCGUCUUGAAACACGGACCAAGGAGUCUAACAUCUAUGCGAGUGUUUGGGUGUCAAACCCAUGCGCGGAAUGAAAGUGAACGGAGGUGAGAACCCUUAAGGGCGCAUCAUCGACCGAUCCAGAUGUCUUCGGAUGGAUUUGAGUAUGAGCAUAGCUGUUGGGACCCGAAAGAUGGUGAACUAUGCCUGAAUAGGGUGAAGCCAGAGGAAACUCUGGUGGAGGCUCGCAGCGGUUCUGACGUGCAAAUCGAUCGUCAAAUUUGGGUAUAGGGGCGAAAGACUAAUCGAACUAUCUAGUAGCUGGUUCCUGCCGAAGUUUCCCUCAGGAUAGCAGUAACGUUUUCAGUUUUAUGAGGUAAAGCGAAUGAUUAGAGGCC
Molecule: ribosomal RNA, 874 nt
Filed under: Xanthoparmelia sp.
Lineage: Eukaryota; Fungi; Ascomycota; Lecanoromycetes; Lecanorales; Parmeliaceae
Description: partial large subunit ribosomal RNA
Rfam family: Eukaryotic large subunit ribosomal RNA
Source: RNAcentral